Empedobacter brevis is the source of this 47-nucleotide non-coding RNA. NCBI's taxonomy places the organism in Bacteria, Pseudomonadati, Bacteroidota, Flavobacteriia, Flavobacteriales, Weeksellaceae. The record is from Rfam.
UACAUUUGCACCUCAUUACAUAAUAAUUAUUAAAUAAUAUUGGCAUG